CCGUACAAACAGUCGUCAACACAGAGACUUGUUAUUUACAUAUAUAAUCGAACAGUUUUACGUCAAUCGAACAUUACGUCAGCUUUUGCCGCGAAUUCAACGUUUCACUCGCGGGAACAUAAUCGCAAAUGAAAAUCCACACCAAGUGUGCCUGCUAGACGAGUAAUAUUUCAUCAUUCGUCUAAUCAGUUAUUAGAUACUCAGUUCUUUUCCGGAUAUAUAUUUUUUACACGAUCUAUUUCACGCCGAGCGAAAAGAAACAAGAUCACGAGCCGACCUCUCGCGACUUCAUCUUCUUUUCGUUAUACAUCGACACGAUGAUCCCACGCGAUCCCAUCGGCGCGGCGGCUCAGAUAAUAAACUCUAAUGCGGAUAUCAAUCUCCCACAUGGGCCAUUGGAAGCCCACGAAAUAAUAAUUUUGGAAAACGGAAGGAUUUUCCAAGUGAAAAAAAAAAGGAGUAAAAGUAUUUGAUGCUGUUUUUUCAUCAUCUCAUCAGUACCAUUUCACGACUCUACAGACGUGUAAGAUUUCAGGAGAAAAUUGGUGCAAGAUUCAUUUCUCUUUUUAUUUUCAUUGGUGAGAUUAUUCUAUUUUAUUUUCACUCGUACCACUGUUUCACCUGCGUAACCAGCCUACCGCAAGAUUUCCUUUACGCGCACUACGUUACAAAACUCAACUCGAUCCUAUCCGGGGGGGAGGAAGGGAGGGGAGGGGGGAGGAGAAUCUCCCCUCCCAAUUUUUAUAUUAAGGUUACACGCGGAAUGAGAUAUCGAUUUACGCGAUUCACGUUUAUGAUCGAGACGCGGCCAACUCCGGCUGUGCGGAGCAAAACGCGCGUAAGAAGUCCGACUUGAACGCGAGCGGCUUACAUUCUCGAUAGUCGCGAACGGGCGCAACGAUAUAGUCGCAGCCUUAUCGGCGUCCGUGUCUUUGCGGGGGAGCCGCGCGUGGCAAAUUCCGCUCGCGGAUACUUUUUACCCCCGUCACCCUUGACUGGCCCCGCGGCAGAGAUAGGCGUCGUUCUCUUUGUAUUGCAGUCGUAAUCGUAGUAACGCCAGUCACUACCAUCGAUACCGCACGCUUCUACCGUUCGUCAUAAAUAAAUGAACUGCAUUACGCGAAAAUAAUCCAAUUCACGAAAUUAGAAGGAAACGAGAACAUAAUUGUAAACGUAGCUUAGUUUGAAAAAUUUCGCGCUUUAAAACUAAUUUUUUUGAAACCUUUUUAACAAUUUUUUUUCAAUUAUUGAGCGAAGGCGCCUCCUGCUUGAAGACUGUUAACGAUGGCAAAUUGUUGAGGAGGCCUUCGCUGGAAAAAGACAGAAGUUUUUGUCACGUUAUAUUUUUAGUAGUCUACUGCUAAUAUUAUUCACAUUGUAAAGAUAAGUAUGACAGAAAUUAUUCCAAUUUUCAAAAUAUUUAUUUAAUAAUAAAUACAACUAUUUAUGACUAAUACAUAUUUUCUGGAAAUUAGAAGGAUAACAAAAUCUUACACAUG
This is a long non-coding RNA of Monomorium pharaonis (pharaoh ant), 1499 nucleotides long. RefSeq lists it as uncharacterized. The transcript has 2 exons. NCBI's taxonomy places the organism in Eukaryota, Metazoa, Arthropoda, Insecta, Hymenoptera, Formicidae. The record is from RefSeq and is a predicted model, not a curated record.